Molecule: ribosomal RNA, 220 nt
Filed under: uncultured bacterium
Lineage: Bacteria
Description: partial 16S ribosomal RNA
Rfam family: Bacterial small subunit ribosomal RNA
Source: RNAcentral
UACGUAGGGUGCGAGCGUUGUCCGGAAUUAUUGGGCGUAAAGAGCUUGUAGGCGGUUUGUCGCGUCUGCCGUGAAAUUUCGAGGCUCAACCUCGAACUUGCGGUGGGUACGGGCAGACUAGAGUGUGGUAGGGGAGACUGGAAUUCCUGGUGUAGCGGUGAAAUGCGCAGAUAUCAGGAGGAACACCGAUGGCGAAGGCAGGUCUCUGGGCCAACUACUG